GCGACCGGCCUCCCAAGAAGACGUAAAAAGAAGCAGAAAAACCGCUCCAACAGACGCUCGUGCUUCCGUUACACAGACCGUUAUCCGAACCGUUUCCAACCGUAAGUUCACAUUCCUUCACGGGAAAGAAGGAAACCCGGAGAAGUUUCAGAAGUUUACAUUAAAAUUCGUCGACAUUGGGAUCCAAAAUGCAGUAAACCGGCAGUCCGUUUGCGGGAAAAA
Molecule: long non-coding RNA, 222 nt
Organism: Poecilia latipinna (sailfin molly)
Lineage: Eukaryota; Metazoa; Chordata; Actinopteri; Cyprinodontiformes; Poeciliidae
Exons: 3
Source: RefSeq, a predicted model, not a curated record